This 464-nucleotide ribosomal RNA is filed under the name uncultured bacterium. RNAcentral's name for it is "bacterial SSU rRNA". It matches the Rfam family "Bacterial small subunit ribosomal RNA", at positions 33 to 507 of the family's 1533-position model. The record is from RNAcentral.
GACGACGCUGGCGGCGUGCUUAAAACAUGCAAGUCGAACGGACUUCUCAUGAAGCUUGCGAUUGAGAAGUUAGUGGCGGACGGGUGAGUAACGCGUAGGCAACCUGCCCCUGAGCCCGGGAUAACAGUUCGAAAGGACUGCUAAGACCGGAUAUACUUGCGGUGAAGCAUUUCACUGCAAGGAAAGGGAACGCUCAGGGAUGGGCCCGCGUCCCAUUAGCUAGUUGGUGAGGUAACGGCCCACCAAGGCGACGAUGGGUAGCCGGCCUGAGAGGGUGAACGGCCACACUGGGACUGAGACACGGCCCAGACUCCUACGGGAGGCAGCAGUUGGGAAUCUUCGGCAAUGGGCGCAAGCCUGACCGAGCAACGCCGCGUGAGUGAUGAAGGUUUUCGGAUUGUAAAGCUCUGUCUUCCGGGACGAUAAUGACGGUACCGGAGGAGGAAGCCACGGCUAACUACGUG